UACGGGGGGUGCGAGCGUCGUCCGGAAUCACUGGGCGUAAAGGGCGCGUAGGCGGCUGGCGUAGUCGGUGGUGAAAGCCCGUGGCUCAACUGCGGGUCGGCCAUCGAUACUCGUCGGCUCGAGCACUGUAGAGGCAGGUGGAAUUCCGGGAGUAGCGGUGGAAUGCGUAGAGAUCCGGAAGAACACCGGUGGCGAAGGCGGCCUGCUGGGCAGUAGCUGACGCUGAGGCGCGACAGCGUGGGGAGCAAGCAGG
Molecule: ribosomal RNA, 253 nt
Filed under: uncultured bacterium
Lineage: Bacteria
Description: partial 16S ribosomal RNA
Rfam family: Bacterial small subunit ribosomal RNA
Source: RNAcentral